Molecule: small nuclear RNA, 107 nt
Organism: Dipodomys ordii (Ord's kangaroo rat)
Lineage: Eukaryota; Metazoa; Chordata; Mammalia; Rodentia; Heteromyidae
Source: Ensembl
GUGUUUGCUUCAGUAGCACAUAUACUAAAAUUGGAACGAUACAGAAAAGAUUAGCAUGGCCCCUGCACAAGGAUGACACACAAAUUCGUGAAGUGUUCCGUAUUUUA